Long non-coding RNA from Stomoxys calcitrans (stable fly), 1241 nucleotides. RefSeq lists it as uncharacterized. The record is from RefSeq and is a predicted model, not a curated record. The transcript is spliced from 2 exons. Lineage: Eukaryota; Metazoa; Arthropoda; Insecta; Diptera; Muscidae.
GUGCUCCAAAAUCUGAAUUCAAAAACACCUUAAUAAAAAUCUAAAAUUGGCGAAGUUUUUAGACAAAAUUGAAAAAAAAAAAUAAUUUUGGUAAAUUUUCUAUAAAUAUCAAAUUUCGAAAAUAUUUUCCAUAUUAGGGGACAUGUGUACAUAUAAACGUCUAAAAAAGGCAUCCCACUUCAGGACUGCAGACAAAAAACAACAAAUUAGUAGACAAGUUAUUCAAUAUGAAUAUAAUAAGCAUAACCAACAAGAACGUGUUGACGACGAGAAGAAUAGAAAUAAAUACGGCUACUAAUUUCAUCGACAGAGUACUAAAAAUCAGUGACAAAAUAUAUCAUCAAGAAAACGAAAUAAAGAAAAAUUCAACAUAUACUACGAUUAAAUGACUUCUCAAGCAAAGCUAUUAGGGACCUUAUAAAAUUCGUCAAGAAUAGAACACCGAACAACAAAAUUGAACCAACACUAAAAAUCUUCAAGAUAACGACGUAUUUUUUAGGGUUUUCGGAAAGGCUUACCAAUUCCAAUACAUACAACAGCGUAAAAUACCAGCUUGCUUUAAAAAGCCACAACACACUGAAUAGUAUAUUCAGCAGGACUAAAUGAAGGAUGAAAAAGCAGGGCAAAUCAAAUGUAGUUUAUAAGAUUAAAUGUAACGGCGAUGAAGCUAAUUUAUGUCAUGUGCCAUAUGUAGGAACAACCAAAACUAAAUUAAAAACAAGAUUAUCAUCGCACAAAUCUGUCCAGAAAAUGAAAGACAAACCUUUAGAACAAAAAACUGCACUUGCAGCACAUUGCACUUUAACAGGGCAUAAACCAAAUUUUAAAGACGUAGACAUACUAGCACAAGAAUCCAAUCGGAAAAGACGAUUUACAUUAGAAAUGUUACAUAUUAUUGACAUCCCUACAUACAAACGUAUGAACUUAAAGAAAGACACAGACAAUUGUGCUCAAAUUUACAGGAAUUUGGUACAAAAAUACAGACAAAUAUGAGAGAGCUGUAGUCGAACUUGUGCGCUGUAAAGCAAAAGUCGAUUAUUUUGUUUCAAAAUUAAAAACCUUGAUGAAGAUCUCUGGCGGUGGUCGAAAUAUUGGUAAAAAUUACAAAUGAAACAACUAUAUAAAACACCAACACCUGUUUUUGUAAAUUGUUCGAUGACCUCGAGCCAAACCAAGAAGACAAAGUUAUAAAAUCCAUUAUAGUCAAAAUUUUUUGUAAAAAUAAAAACUUGACAAAAUUA